AUGAGAUUAGCUCAGUUGUUCAGAGCAUGGUGCUGAUAACACCAAGGUUAUGGGUCCAAUCCCCCUAUGAGCUA
This is a non-coding RNA of Lamprotornis superbus, 74 nucleotides long. The record is from the annotation of a GenBank genome assembly. NCBI's taxonomy places the organism in Eukaryota, Metazoa, Chordata, Aves, Passeriformes, Sturnidae.